Triticum dicoccoides is the source of this 527-nucleotide long non-coding RNA. RefSeq lists it as uncharacterized. The transcript has 3 exons. NCBI's taxonomy places the organism in Eukaryota, Viridiplantae, Streptophyta, Magnoliopsida, Poales, Poaceae. The record is from RefSeq and is a predicted model, not a curated record.
UUUACCAACGGAGCGAAACCACCUGAUGGGCGUGAGGUCGCACUCCUCCCCGCCCGUUCCAAUUCCGUCGACGCCAACGCCCCACUCUACUCUCUCCGACGCUGCAACAGAUCCUGGCACCUGCUAUGCCGCCAUGCCCUCAACGUCCGGCUCCGGCGCAGGGAUGAAGGUCAAGGUCGCCGAGCCAUACUUCCACAAGUUAUCCAUGGCUGCUUUUGAUUCCGCCCAGACUAGCUAGUUCAAGAUCAAUUGAGUGCACUGUGGAUCCAUAGUUGCAAAACAAUUCUGGAUAUUUCCUUGGCUUAAUUUCUGUAUAACAAGAGCCCCGCGAGCGAGCUCUCCACCACAAGUAACUGGAAUCGACCGCCGCCUCCCUACCAGAGCGCACAAGUCACCGAAACCUCCAGAUCUAUUCAUGUUCCCGGUGUAGCAGACCUGAAGGUGCCUCACAUGGUUCGGUGAUUUCCUUUUAUCUGUGAACUAUUGUCGUUACUAUAGGAGCAGUCUCGAUUGUUAAAGAUCACCAA